Molecule: long non-coding RNA, 2965 nt
Filed under: Homo sapiens (human)
Lineage: Eukaryota; Metazoa; Chordata; Mammalia; Primates; Hominidae
Description: HSALNT0133411
Source: RNAcentral
UUUUUUCAUUCCUUUUUUUUUUUUUCUAUUCAGUCACCAUUUAACCUUUCUUGAACUACCAUCCUGACCUUCUUUGGAAAACAGCCCUCUGAGACUCUCAGGACAGGGGGGAGUUGGGGGACGUUAUUCCUUGUUUUAGAGAUAAGUAAAUUGAAAACUGCGCAAUCUGAGCACUGCAACACCUCUCCACUCCCUUACCUCCAACCAUGCCCCUGCCUCCUACACACACACUGAUUAUUUAAAGAGAUGGACAAUAAGGUUAUUAAUGGGCCUCACGUGGAGCUCUGCAAUCUAGAACGCCUGGUAGUACAGAAUAGAUGCCUAACAUAUCACGAAGCAUUCUAGCUACCAUAAUGAGCUAACGUGCCAGGAAAUGAAAAGAGCCAAAUUCAGUCCUGAUCAUCUAACUUAUCCUCCUGGAUAGAGACAUUUCAGAAGUUCUAUGCUGCAUGGUCCAAUUGCUUGUUUGAAAAAAAAGAAAAAAAGAAUUUCCAACACUAUUAGCUAAAAUAUUUAAAUGUAUUAUAUGAAAGGCAAUUUAACUUAAAUAGGAAUUGAGUGUUAAUUCUUUAUACAUUCUUGAGAUGUUUUAAAAAUUAUGUAUUGUUUGUAUAGUUACUCUGCCCAAAGCUAAUAAAUUUUGUAUACAAUAGAAUUUUAAACCUUUUAAAUGUAAAAGAUUUUUAAAUCUAUACUAUACUCCAGUUUAAGAUGGCAGACUAAGCACAAAUGUUUCUCACACCUCUAAAGAGACCACUGCAACUUCAUUACAUACAAGCUUGUCCCUGAUAAAAGUUGAAAACAAAUUGACAACUUAAACCAUCUGACACUAUCUCAAUGAAGUAGUAAGUUAUUAAAUAUUAUCCUGAAAAUUUAUGUGAAUUGAAAACAUUCAUCUAAAGGUACAGUCUGUCUCUAUAUAGACUACUUUUAAGGGGAAAAUAUUUUAAUGUGUCUUUAAAAUGAAAGAUAAAAUAAUGUGGAAGCUAUAAAAGAGAGAAAGUACUCAAAGGACAGUAAGAAAAUUGAGAAUUCUUGUUUUUCAGAAGGAUUUUCAAUAGCAAUCAUUUCUUCUCUUUUAAUCUAGAACUGAUCAAGGAUGCAGAAUAGAGAAAAAGAUUGCCUGGUGCAUUUCUAGUUCCCUUAGUCUUCAUACAAACACGCAUGCAGGUAGGCACACUUGAAAUAUACAGAAAACUCAUUAAAGAUAGACUAGGGUGGGCCAGGCAUGGUGUCUCACGCCUGUAAUCCCAGCACUUUGGGUGGCCGAGGCGGUGGAUCACGAGGUCAGGAGUUCAAGAUCAGUAUGGCCAAGGUGGUGAAACCCUGUCUCUGCUAAAAAUUAAAAAAAAAUAGCUGGGUGUGGUGGUGGGCGCCUGUAAUCUUAGCUACUUGGGAGGCUGAGGCAGGAAAAUGGCGUGAACCCAGGAGGCAGAGGUUGCAGUGAGCCGAGAUCGUGCCACUGCACUCCAGCCUGGGCAACAGAGGGAGACUCCAUCAAAAAAAAAAAAAAAAAAAAAAAAGACUAGAGUGGCAUAAGAUGAGAUUUGAAGGUAGUAGGGAAGUCAUGAACUUAAUGACUUUGGGUCUGUGGUUUGCUAUAUUCAAUGCUUUUUAUGUCUUUUUAAAUUUUACCCACCCUACCACACUGCUUCUGUGAGUUAAUUUAUAAUUUUCCUCUGGGUAAAAUCAGGCUGCCAAUUACAUCAUUUUCAGAAAAAUAUUAUUUCGUUGUGUUGUUUUGUAUAGAGUGUGUUAAAUUCUUAGAUUUCUUUCAACUUAGUUUCAAAAAUAAUUCCUACAUGUAAACAAGCUAUUUUUACAAUCAGCAUCAUGCACACUAAUUAAAGAAUGAAAAUAUUAAUAUGCUGAUUAAUGUUAGGUUAGAAUCAAUCCUUGACAAUAAGACUAGGCAUGGAAUAUAAAAUGCAAUGAAAAUCCAAAGUACAUGAUGAUUUGGUCUGCAUGAAAUCCCGUCAACAGAUUAUAUAUUUAUUCUUGAUUAUUGUAUUUCCUGGAGUGUAUGUGCAUCAGUCUAUUAAAAAAUUUGUCAGGAAAAUAUAUUAUUUGAGGGAUUUUAUGAUGUCAAUGAAAACCUUAGAAUAAUAAGACCAGUACCAGUGACUUCUGUAUAUUUUCUCACAACAACCGAUCACUUCUUAUUUCUAUGAUAUAUGGUUCCAAAAGAUGAGAAUUUGAUGCUUUCACCACAUAGGAGCUAUUUCCUAGAUCAAAUCUUAAUAUGCAACAAAAAUCAAUCUGACCACAGGGUAUCUACUGUUAGACAACUUAUUCCUCUUUAUUCUAGAUUGAAAGUGUCCGUGACAAUAUAACCUGCUUCCCAGAGGUGAUAUUAAGACCGUUCACGUAAUUUCUUCCCAUUCUUCAAAGAAUUAACAUGUGCCAGGUUGAACUUUAAUCACAAGCCCAGUAUUUAUUAAGAAAUGUCAUCAUUUACUACUUGGAGAGAUGAAUGAGGUUAUGUAGUCAUAACAGGUAAAUUAUUAUUCCUCAAAUAUUCCUAUUCUCUCUUAUUUAUAAAGGAUAAUUCUGAAGAAGUACAUAACUUUCAGGGGAACAUUUUCAAACUCCCUGAAUGGUCUGACCUGCCCCCUGUCCCUCUGUAGUCCUUCCUUUCAUGGGGAUGAUGAGGGCUUUAACAGACUAUGGCUGUGAGGACUUUUGAAAACCAGACAAGAAUAUAUGGGAGAAAAUUCUUACUUGAAAAACAUGUUUAGACCUUGACCACUAAUUAAACUAAAUACUGGUUGUUUUACAUUAGAAUACAAGCAUUCUUCCAUUCUUGUGGGGGAGGUAAGUACUUAUUUAAGAGUUAAAUUUUAUCUGUAAUCCCAGCACUUGAAGAGGCCAAGGCAGGAGGAUCACUUAAGGUCAGGAGUUUCAGACCAGCCUGGCCAACAUGGGGAAACCCCCUCUCUACUAAAAAUAAACAAAUUAGCCGGGC